This 467-nucleotide ribosomal RNA is filed under the name uncultured bacterium. RNAcentral describes it as "partial 16S ribosomal RNA". It matches the Rfam family "Bacterial small subunit ribosomal RNA", at positions 28 to 506 of the family's 1533-position model. The record is from RNAcentral.
GACGAACGCUGGCGGCGUGCUUAACACAUGCAAGUCGAACGGAAAGGCCCUGCUUUUGUGGGGUGCUCGAGUGGCGAACGGGUGAGUAACACGUGAGUAGCCUGCCCUUGACUUUGGGAUAACUUCAGGAAACUGGGGCUAAUACCGGAUAGGAGCUCCUGCUGCAUGGUGGGGGUUGGAAAGCUUCGGCGGUUGGGGAUGGACUCGCGGCUUAUCAGCUUGUUGGUGGGGUAGUGGCUUACCAAGGCUUUGACGGGUAGCCGGCCUGAGAGGGUGACCGGCCACAUUGGGACUGAGAUACGGCCCAGACUCCUACGGGAGGCAGCAGUGGGGAAUAUUGCAUAAUGGGCGGAAGCCUGAUGCAGCAACGCCGCGUGCGGGAUGACGGCCUUCGGGUUGUAAACCGCUUUCGCCUGUGACGAAGCGUGAGUGACGGUAAUGGGGAAAGAAGCACCGGCUAACUACGU